Molecule: ribosomal RNA, 514 nt
Filed under: uncultured bacterium
Lineage: Bacteria
Description: partial 16S ribosomal RNA
Rfam family: Bacterial small subunit ribosomal RNA
Source: RNAcentral
GACGAACGCUGGCGGCGUGCCUAACACAUGCAAGUCGAACGGAGAUAUCCUUCGGGGUAUCUUAGUGGCGAACGGGUGAGUAACGCGUGGGUAACCUGCCCUUUUAUCGGGGAUAACUUGCCGAAAGGUGAGCUAAUACCGGAUGUCCUAGUUUGAUCACCUGAUUAAGAUAGCAAAGGUGGCCUCUUUAAAUGCUACCGUAAAAGGAUGGACCCGCGUCUGAUUAGCUAGUUGGGGAGGUAACGGCUAACCAAGGCGGCGAUCAGUAGCCGGCCUGAGAGGGUGAACGGCCACACUGGGACUGAGACACGGCCCAGACUCCUACGGGAGGCAGCAGUGGGGAAUCUUCCGCAAUGGACGAAAGUCUGACGGAGCAACGCCGCGUGAGUGAUGAAGGUCUUCGGAUUGUAAAACUCUGUUUUUUGGGACGAACGGCUCAUAUGUGAACAAUGUAUGAGAUUGACGGUACCAAAGGAGGAAGCCCCGGCUAACUACGUGCCAGCCGCCGCAGUAA